ACAAAUGUUUUAUUAUUUAAUUUGUACAUAAAAUUUCAUCAGUAUGUAGAAAGUGUUCAGUGAUGCCACCAAGAGAUGUCGUUAUUUUUUAAAAAAAGUUUCUAGAACACUACUUAAAUUUAUAUAACACUAGAAAGAAGGUUCCAGAUUUGGGAUACAAAACAUCACUGAUUCCUUUGAUAUUCUAUGCAUAUAUAUGUUCACACCUUUUAAAAAAUGUUUUCUUUUCUUACCCACUUACUUUCUAGUUCACCAGUCAAAAAUGCUACUCAUUCUCGCAGUGGCUCAUGCCGGUAAUCCCAGCACUUUCAGAGGCUAAGGCAGAUGAAUCACCUGAGGUCAGGAGUUUGAGACCAGCCUGGCCAACAUUUUGAAACCCCCUCUCUACUAAAAAUACAAAAAUUACCCAGGCAUGGUGGUGCGCUGCAGUAGUCUCAGCUGCUCAGGAGGCUGAGGCAGGAGGAUUGCUUGAACCUGAGGUUGCAGUGAGCCAAGAUGGCACCACUGUACUCCAGCCUGGGUGACAGAGAAAGACUCUGCCUCAAAAAAAAAAAAAAAAAAAUUGCUCUCUCUAGAAAACUGUCUCUCUUCGCCUCAUCUCCCCAAACACAAAAUGACUCACACUCCCUCUGUGAUGAUACAGCCUUUGGUUUGGAAUUCUCUACUAAAAGUCUUCAAAUUGUCUUGGGUUAUAAUUAACUAUACAUGUGUCUCUCUCCUUAUGGGACUAUAAGGGCAGGGCUAUCUUGCAAUCACCUAUUUUUUCGCAAAUAAUAAAGUAUAUUGGAUUAUUGAUGGUCUUUAAAUAUGUGUUGAAAUAAAAUGAAUUGACUUUUUUUGGCAAUGAUUUGUUCUUUAGGCUUUAUAAGGUGCCACUCUUAAAUAUCUUGCUCACAUCACUGCACUUGAAGAAGAAGUGCCCUGAAGCCAUGUGGGAAGCAUGUGUGGCAGACUCUUGGCUCUAGACCAUGAUCACAGCUCAUACUUUGUGUUUUAACAAGCUGAUAUACCACCCACCAGUUAAUAAUUACACUCUAAUUUUCUGAUGCUAUGUAAUUGAUAAUAAGAAACUCUAAGAGUCCAAACAUGCUAUCCUUUAUUAGAAAAAGAUUCAUUGCAAACUGUUUUUCAAAGUUAUUAAACCAAAUGCUAUGAUGUCUGGAAUUUUCUUAAUAAUAAGCUAGUGGGGCAGGGGAAGAAGGAGCUUAAAUGAAAUGAGAAUAGUCAUGAGCCGAUUAUUGCUAUACUUAGGUGCUGAAUACACUGGGGCUCAUUUUACAAUUCCCACCAGUUUGUGUAUGUUCAAAAGUUUCCAAUAAAAAUUAAUAAUAGCAAUUAAACUAAAAAGUAGAAUAUUUUGAAUUCUUCCUUUGCCUUUAGCGUGUAUAUACACACUAAAGGCAAAGGAAGAAUUCUAUAUAUAAUUAUAUUUAUAUGUAAUAUAAUUAUAUAUCAUAUUUAUUAAAAUUAUAUAUAAUUAUUUUAUAUGUACAAAUAUUAAACAGGCCUAUCCACAGGAAAAUAGAAGGUUGGAUAGAUAGGCAAAACAUUUUUCUUCUUUUUCUUUUUUUUGUUUUUGGAGAAGGAGUCUCCUCUGUCACCCAAGCUGGAGUGCAGUCAUGCAAUCUUGGCUCACUGCGACCUCCGCCUCCUGGAUUCAAGUGAUUUUCCUGCCUCAGCCUCCCAAGUAAUUGGGAUUACAGGUGCACAUCACCAAGCCCAGCUAAUUUUUGUAGUUUUUUUAGUAGAGACAGGGUUUCACCACAUUGGCCAGGCUGGUCUCGAACUCCUGACCUUAAAGUGAUCUGCCCACCCAGGCCUCCCAAAGUACUGGGAUUACAGGUGUGAGCCCCCAUGCC
Molecule: long non-coding RNA, 1859 nt
Filed under: Homo sapiens (human)
Lineage: Eukaryota; Metazoa; Chordata; Mammalia; Primates; Hominidae
Description: HSALNT0052548
Source: RNAcentral